CGGACCGGCGCGACGGUGAGUAACGCGUAUGCAACUUACCUAUCAGAGGGGGAUAACCCGGCGAAAGUCGGACUAAUACCGCAUGAAGCAGGGGCCCCGCAUGGGGAUAUUUGCUAAAGAUUCAUCGCUGAUAGAUAGGCAUGCGUUCCAUUAGGCAGUUGGCGGGGUAACGGCCCACCAAACCGACGAUGGAUAGGGGUUCUGAGAGGAAGGUCCCCCACAUUGGUACUGAGACACGGACCAA
RNAcentral lists this ribosomal RNA (244 nucleotides) under uncultured bacterium. RNAcentral describes it as "partial 16S ribosomal RNA". It matches the Rfam family "Bacterial small subunit ribosomal RNA", at positions 91 to 334 of the family's 1533-position model. The record is from RNAcentral.